CCUACGGGAGGCAGCAGUGGGGGAUAUUGCACAAUGGGGGGAACCCUGAUGCAGCGACGCCGCGUGGGUGAAGGAGUGCUUCGGCAUGUAAAGCCCUAUCGGCAGGGAAGAAGCAAGACGGUACCUGACUAAGAAGCCCCGGCUAACUACGUGCCAGCAGCCGCGGUAAUACGUAGGGGGCGAGCGUUAUCCGGAUUCACUGGGUGUAAAGGGAGCGUAGACGGCCAAGCAAGCCAGGGGUGAAAGCCCGGGGCCCAACCCCGGGACUGCCCUUGGAACUGCAUGGCUGGAGUGCGGGAGGGGCAGGCGGAAUUCCUGGUGUAGCGGUGAAAUGCGUAGAUAUCAGGAGGAACACCGGCGGCGAAGGCGGCCUGCUGGACCGCGACUGACGUUGAGGCGCGAAAGCGUGGGGAGCAAACAGGAUUAGAUACCCUAGUAGUC
RNAcentral lists this ribosomal RNA (441 nucleotides) under uncultured bacterium. RNAcentral's name for it is "partial 16S ribosomal RNA". It matches the Rfam family "Bacterial small subunit ribosomal RNA", at positions 338 to 795 of the family's 1533-position model. The record is from RNAcentral.